Molecule: ribosomal RNA, 327 nt
Filed under: uncultured eukaryote
Lineage: Eukaryota
Description: partial 18S ribosomal RNA
Rfam family: Eukaryotic small subunit ribosomal RNA
Source: RNAcentral
CCCCUAGAUGUUCUGGGCCGCACGCGCGCUACACUGAACAGUUCAACAAGUCUUAACCUUGGCCGAUAGGUCUGGGUAAUCUUUGAACGCUGUUCGUGAUUGGGAUAGACCUUUGCAAUUAUUCAUCUUCAACGAGGAAUUCCUAGUAAACGCAAGUCAUCAGCUUGCAUUGAUUACGUCCCUGCCCUUUGUACACACCGCCCGUCGCACCUACCGAUUGAAUGGUCCGGUGAAAUCUUCGGAUCUGAGAGAUGUCUGAUUAAUUUCGGACGCCUUUUGGAAAAGUUGUUUAAACCUUACCAUUUAGAGGAAGGUGAAGUCGUAACA